Molecule: ribosomal RNA, 467 nt
Filed under: uncultured bacterium
Lineage: Bacteria
Description: partial 16S ribosomal RNA
Rfam family: Bacterial small subunit ribosomal RNA
Source: RNAcentral
GACGAACGCUGGCGGCGUGCUUAACACAUGCAAGUCGAACGGAAAGGCCCUGCUUUUGUGGGGUGCUCGAGUGGCGAACGGGUGAGUAACACGUGAGUAACCUGCCCUUGACUUUGGGAUAACUUCAGGAAACUGGGCUAAUACCGGAUAGGAGCUCCUGCUGCAUGGUGGGGGUUGGAAAGUUUCGGCGGUUGGGGAUGGACUCGCGGCUUAUCAGCUUGUUGGUGGGGUAGUGGCUUACCAAGGCUUUGACGGGUAGCCGGCCUGAGAGGGUGACCGGCCACAUUGGGACUGAGAUACGGCCCAGACUCCUACGGGAGGCAGCAGUGGGGAAUAUUGCACAAUGGGCGGAAGCCUGAUGCAGCAACGCCGCGUGCGGGAUGACGGCUUUCGGGUUGUAAACCGCUUUCGCCUGUGACGAAGCGUGAGUGACGGUAAUGGGUAAAGAAGCACCGGCUAACUACGUG